This is a long non-coding RNA of Oryctolagus cuniculus (rabbit), 566 nucleotides long. RefSeq lists it as uncharacterized. NCBI's taxonomy places the organism in Eukaryota, Metazoa, Chordata, Mammalia, Lagomorpha, Leporidae. The record is from RefSeq and is a predicted model, not a curated record.
UAACCAGUGUUCCUAGAGACUUUGGGCCACGGUGGGGAGAGGUAAUUGGGAUGAAGACACGAGCGUGGUGGAGACAUUUCUACCGGCGCACGCAGCCUGAGAGCAGAGUGGACAGUGAGAGAGAGAGAGGAGGGAGAGAAAGGUCUUCCUUUAUCGUUGGUUCACCCCACAAUGGCCGCUGCGGCCAGCACACCACGCUGAUCCGAAGGUAGGAGCCAGGUGCUUCUCCUGGUCUCCCAUGGUGUGCAGAGCCCAGGGACUUGGGCCAUCCCUUGGGGCAGCCGAAGGAUGCAGUGGAAGAGGAGGAGAUGUGUGAAGACAAAGACCCAUCUCAUUAAAAAUCCCCGGUGGCCUCAACCGGACUGCGCGCUCAGCCCUCUGCCUCUCUGCUGAGCCACCCGCCUGGUCUGGCCAGGUGUACUCCGCUCAACCAUGUAAGCUCGCUCCUUCUUGCUCCCUCCCAGUCCGAGCAACUGCACUCUUUCCCAGGUCCUGUCUGGAGAGGUGCCCAUCCAUCCUUACAGAUGUCCCCUCCCUAAUAAACCUUGCUAUUUUACCUCCCACUA